CCUACGGGAGGCAGCAGUAGGGAAUCUUCGGCAAUGGGGGCAACCCUGACCGAGCAACGCCGCGUGAGUGAAGAAGGUUUUCGGAUCGUAAAGCUCUGUUGAAAGUCAAGAACGAGUGUGAUAGGGGAAAUUUCACACUGUGACGGUAGCUUACCAGAAAGGGACGGCUAACUACGUGCCAGCAGCCGCGGUAAUACGUAGGUCCCAAGCGUUGUCCGGAUUUAUUGGGCGUAAAGCGAGCGCAGGCGGUUUGAUAAGUCUGAAUUUAAAGGCUGUGGCUCAACCAUAGUUCGCUUUGGAAACUGUCAAACUUGAGUGCAGAAGGGGAGAGUGGAAUUCCAUGUGUAGCGGUGAAAUGCGUAGAUAUAUGGAGGAACACCGGUGGCGAAGGCGGCUCUCUGGUCUGUAACUGACGCUGAGGCUCGAAAGCGUGGGGAGCGAACAGGAUUAGAUACCCUAGUAGUC
RNAcentral lists this ribosomal RNA (465 nucleotides) under uncultured Streptococcus sp. RNAcentral's name for it is "bacterial SSU rRNA". It matches the Rfam family "Bacterial small subunit ribosomal RNA", at positions 338 to 795 of the family's 1533-position model. The record is from RNAcentral. Lineage: Bacteria; Bacillati; Bacillota; Bacilli; Lactobacillales; Streptococcaceae.